CGCUUCUCCAUAGACUCAAGCUUAUAUUCUAAAAAAGACCCAACCCGCCUAGACGCCCCCAGCCGCCUAGCCGCCGGCCUAGGCCGAUUUUUCGUACACUGCGAUUGACUAAAAGUCUGAAACCCGAAAUUGAAAAAAUUUAGCUGCAAAUUUGAGCUUGAGAUUGAGAUUGGGAAGCCGAAGCAGUGAAGCAAAAGUGAAGUCCAUAGAAGAAGAGAUCAUGAGACUCUUAAUUCAUCUAAUUCCAUUCCUCUCCCUGUUUCCUGCCUUAUUCUCUUCUCUCUAGGCUCUCUCUCAAACGACAUGUUCACCUCACCACACCAACGACAACUACGGCAAUUCCUCCCUCUGCCAACUCCACCUUAUUCUCUUCUCUCUUCGCUUGACGGCAUGGCGCAGAAGAAAAAAAUAAAAAAAUUUCUGACUUGGUGUCUGUCUUCAGUGGAAGGAAAUGAUGAAGCUAUCCUAUCAUGGAGUUUCUGUGGUCUUGCCAAUAACAAGAUCAUGAUGGCGAAUGUCAUAAGUUCGCUUUUUAAAUAUGGAUGAUCUUUCUCUCAAUUAGGCUCAUUGUGCCUCACUAUGGAGCUAUUCUGAAUCACAUUAUACAUGUGCUUCAGAGCAAACAGAUCUAACAAGUGAAGAGGGAAACAGAUUAGUUGUAUCUUUCACAGGGAAAGUACUUGAUAUAUUACAUCACUGUCUUCCUUCAACUAUAAGUUUAUAACUGAACUAGAUCAUGCUCUAAGUGAUGGCAUAAGUAGGGGUGGAAGACAAGCAUUGGAGUGGAGAGCAUCAAUUGCUAAACAUUUCAUUGAAGAGUGGGAAUGGCAGUUGUGAAUUUUGCAGUGUCUUCUUCCUUUAUCUGAACGCCAGUGGCAGUGGAAGGAGGCAUUCACUGUAUUACGUCCCGCACCAUCUAAGCUACUUAACCUUUAGGUCUCCUGGCUGUAGUAAAUGCUUAGAGUGUUAAGUCUAUAUCGAGCUCCUUGGACAGUGGAUUGC
This is a long non-coding RNA of Prunus avium (sweet cherry), 1002 nucleotides long. RefSeq lists it as uncharacterized. NCBI's taxonomy places the organism in Eukaryota, Viridiplantae, Streptophyta, Magnoliopsida, Rosales, Rosaceae. The record is from RefSeq and is a predicted model, not a curated record.